AUACGGAGGAUGCGAGCGUUAUCCGGAUUUAUUGGGGUUAAAGGGAGCGUAGGUGGGAUAUUAAGUCAGCUGUGAAAGUUUGGGGCUCAACCUUAAAAUUGCAGUUGAUACUGGUUUCCUUGAGUACGGUACAGGUGGGCGGAAUUCGUGGUGUAGCGGUGAAAGGCUUAGAUAUCACGAAGAACUCCGAUCGCGAAGGCAGCUCACCGGGCCGGAACUGACACUGAUGCUCGAAAGUGCGGGUAUCAAACAGGAUUAGAUACCCUGGUAGUCCGCACAGUAAACGAUGAAUACUCGCUGUUUGCGAUACACGGUAAGCGGCCAAGCGAAAGCGUUAAGUAUUCCACCUAGGGAGUACGCCGGCAACGGUGAAACUCAAAUGAAUUGACGGGG
This 393-nucleotide ribosomal RNA is filed under the name uncultured bacterium. RNAcentral's name for it is "partial 16S ribosomal RNA". It matches the Rfam family "Bacterial small subunit ribosomal RNA", at positions 523 to 918 of the family's 1533-position model. The record is from RNAcentral.